AGCCAUGCAUGUCUAAGUAUAAAUAGUAUACAGUGAAACUGCGAAUGGCUCAUUAAAACAGUUAUAGUUUAUUUGAUAAUUGACACUUACAUGGAUAACCGUGGUAAUUCUAGAGCUAAUACAUGCUUAAACGCCCGACUUUAUGGAAGGGUGGUAUUUAUUAAACUGAAGCCAAUAUUCCUUGUGUCUAUUGCGGUGAUUCAUAAUAACUGAUCGAAUCUCUUUUUGAGAUAAAUCAUUCAAGUUUCUGCCCUAUCAGCUUUCGAUGGUAGUGUAUUGGACUACCAUGGCAUGAACGGGUAACGAAGAAUUAAGGUUCGAUUNCGGAGAGGGAGCCUGANAAACGGCUACCACAUCUAAGGAAGGCAGCAGGCGCGUAAAUUACCCAAUCCUGACUCAAGGAGGUAGUGACAAGAAAUAACAAACCGGGAACCUCAUGGUUUCACGGUAUUGCAAUGAGAACAAUUUAAAACCCUUNNCGAGAAUCAAGUGGAGGGCAAGUCUGGU
RNAcentral lists this ribosomal RNA (507 nucleotides) under uncultured eukaryote. RNAcentral's name for it is "SSU rRNA". It matches the Rfam family "Eukaryotic small subunit ribosomal RNA", at positions 47 to 565 of the family's 1831-position model. The record is from RNAcentral.